Molecule: ribosomal RNA, 497 nt
Filed under: uncultured bacterium
Lineage: Bacteria
Description: partial 16S ribosomal RNA
Rfam family: Bacterial small subunit ribosomal RNA
Source: RNAcentral
GAUGAACGCUGGCGGCGUGCUUAAUACAUGCAAGUCGAGCGAACAGACGAGGAGUUUGUUCCUUUGACGAUAGCGGCGGACGGGUGAGUAACACGAGGAUACUCUACCUAUAAGACUGGGAUAUUCUCGGGAAACCGGAGUUAAUAGCGGAUAAUCUCUUGAUCCGUAUUGUUCAAUUGUGACAGUCGGUUUUUCUGUCACUUAUAGCUGCAUCCGCGCUGCAUUAGCUAGUUGGUAAGGUAACGGCUUACCACGGAAACGAUGCGUAGACGACCGGAGAGGGUGGUCGGCCACACUGGAAGUGGGACACGGUCCAGACUCCUACGAGAGGCAGCAGUAGGGAAUCUUCCGCAGUGGUCGGAAACUUGACGGAGCAACGCCGCGUGAGUGAUGAAGGUCUUCGGAUCGUAAAACUCUGUUAUUAGGGAAGAACAAAUGUGUAAGUAACUAUGCACGUCUUGACGGUACCUAAUCAGAAAGCCACGGCUAACUACGUG